AUUGAACGCUGGCGGCAGGCCUAACACAUGCAAGUCGAGCGGAUGAAGGGAGCUUGCUCCUGGAUUCAGCGGCGGACGGGUGAGUAAUGCCCAGGAAUCUGCCUGGUAGUGGGGGAUAACGUCCGGAAACGGGCGCUAAUACCGCAUACGUCCUGAGGGAGAAAGUGGGGGAUCUUCGGACCUCACGCUAUCAGAUGAGCCUAGGUCGGAUUAGCUAGUUGGUGGGGUAAAGGCCUACCAAGGCGACGAUCCGUAACUGGUCUGAGAGGAUGAUCAGUCACACUGGAACUGAGGCACGGUCCAGACUCCUACGGGAGGCAGCAGUGGGGAAUAUUGGACAAUGGGCGAAAGCCUGAUCCAGCCAUGCCGCGUGUGUGAAGAAGGUCUUCGGAUUGUAAAGCACUUUAAGUUGGGAGGAAGGGCAGUAAGUUAAUACCUUGCUGUUUUGACGUUACCAACAGAAUAAGCACCGGCUAACUUCGUG
Molecule: ribosomal RNA, 484 nt
Filed under: uncultured bacterium
Lineage: Bacteria
Description: partial 16S ribosomal RNA
Rfam family: Bacterial small subunit ribosomal RNA
Source: RNAcentral